GAUGAAGAACGUAGCGAAAUGCGAUAAGUAAUGUGAAUUGCAGAAUUCAGUGAAUCAUCGAAUCUUUGAACGCACAUUGCGCCCCUUGGUAUUCCGAGGGGCAUGCCUGUUCGAGCGUCAUUAUAACCCCUCAAGCUCAGCUUGGUGUUGGGGCCUGCUGCACUGGCAGCCCUUAAAAUCAGUGGCGGCGCCAUCUGGCUCUAAGCGUAGUAAUUCUUCUCGCUAUGGAGUCCUGGUGGAUGCUUGCCAUCAACCCCCAAUUUUUCUAUGGUUGACCCCGGAUCAGGUAGGGAUACCCGCUGAACUUAAGCAUAUCAAUAAGCGGAGGA
Molecule: unclassified non-coding RNA, 329 nt
Filed under: soil metagenome
Description: partial contains 5.8S ribosomal RNA, internal transcribed spacer 2, and large subunit ribosomal RNA
Rfam family: 5.8S ribosomal RNA (bases 1-120)
Source: RNAcentral